CAUUACUUUCCCUAUUGCGGGGAGGGCAAAUGUCGCCCGGUUACAACAUUCUGCAUUUCCGGCGAACGCGGCGUUGCCGGAUGUAACACAUGUAAAUGCGUACGUCACGGCUGGGCUUGUACAAAAAUUUACUGCGGGUCAUAUAAGCAUAAAGGAGCGGUACCGUGUCGGCUGGCAGGGGACCUGCCACUGUGCCGUUAAAUAUCUUCGGCACUGCUUCCG
Molecule: long non-coding RNA, 222 nt
Organism: Pollicipes pollicipes
Lineage: Eukaryota; Metazoa; Arthropoda; Thecostraca; Pollicipedomorpha; Pollicipedidae
Exons: 3
Source: RefSeq, a predicted model, not a curated record